This is a non-coding RNA of Triticum urartu, 1103 nucleotides long. Lineage: Eukaryota; Viridiplantae; Streptophyta; Magnoliopsida; Poales; Poaceae. The record is from RefSeq and is a predicted model, not a curated record.
UUUUCCACCCUCAGAAUCACAAGGAUGCUGCCGCCCUUUGUUCCCCACCCACAAAAUCCCUAGCUUUCCUGUUGUUCCCCACGCACGCCGCCGCCCCACGCCGGCCAAUCCCCAUGCCUCCCACCGCCGCCCCAUGUCGUCGGGGGCUACCGCCGGUCUAUCCCACUAUCGCCCCAUGCCGCCCUGCCUCUGCAUCACCAUCCCACGCCGCCCUUCCUCUGUAGCACCGCCCCACACGAUGCCCCGUCCCCACAGCCCCGCCCAAUUCCGACAUGCCUCUCCACCGUCGGCUCCACACCUCGGGCUCUCUCUCCGGUUGGCCGCCUCUCUCCAACCUCCCUGGCCCAACCCCCCAUCUCCAUCGUCCAGCUCAUGAAGACACACGCAGUGGCGGUGGCGGCGAAGAUUUGGAUCUGGGCCGCGUGUGGCUGGGUAAGGACAUCCCUCUCUGUCUUUGGCUGGGCAAGGGCAUCGAUGCGGCUGAGGUAGAACAGAGGACAGAUGCUGGUAACGUUGAGCUGACAAAGAGAAGUAGCAGAAUAUUUGCUAUGCCACUGUAGUGCAUAAGGCAGCGUGCUGAUGUUGCUUCAUUACUUCUCCAUAGAGCAUGGGGAGCUUUUAUCGUUCUUGGAUUUCAUAAAAUAGAAGAGAUGACAGAAAUGGGGUGGGAGGUAUGUGGAAACAGAGCUUCUUACUUGUGGUAGUAGACGACUAGGCAGUUCAUGCAGGUCAGCCCUCAACACCUGACUCCCUUGAUCGGUGUCUUCCUCUUCUCCACUCAUCUAUAGAAGUGAGCCCAACAAAUACUAUUUUUGGCUGAGGCUAGAAUCUUGCACCGGAGCAUAAAACGUUUAGUUGUUAAACAUGUUUCUGUAACAAGUGAGCUAUCCAUCCUGACCAUGUAGGAGUAACACAUUAACUGAUGGGUGGUGCUUUCAGGCUCUGGAAACAUUACUUGAUGUCUCUGUACUCUGGUAUGGGAUGGUGCACUUUUAAUGACGAAAAGAAUGGCACGCACUCCAAAUAUCUUCCUAGAAAGUGGAUUAACUGAAGAAGAAUCUACUACAGAAGUAAGAUCUGGUUACAAUCAAUCUGAAAGGCAA